Molecule: long non-coding RNA, 640 nt
Organism: Oncorhynchus keta (chum salmon)
Lineage: Eukaryota; Metazoa; Chordata; Actinopteri; Salmoniformes; Salmonidae
Exons: 5
Source: RefSeq, a predicted model, not a curated record
UGGAGCUAGAAACACAAGCAUUUAACUAGGUAUUACUGUUGGAGCUAGAAACACAAGCAUUUAGCUCGGUAUUACUGUUGGAGCUAGAAACACAAGCAUUUAGCUAGGUAUUACUGUUGGAGCUAGAAACACAAGCAUUUAGCUAGGUAUUACUGUUGGAGCUAGAAACACAAGCAUUUAGCUAGGUAUUACUGUUGGAGCUAGAAACACAAGCAUUUAGCUAGGUAUUACUGUUGGAGCUAGAAACACAAGCAUUUAGCUAGGUAUUACUGUUGGAGCUAGAAACACAAGCAUUUAGCUAGGUAUUACUGUUGGAGCUAGAAACACAAGCAUUUAGCUAGGUAUUACUGUUGGAGCUAGAAACACAAGCAUUUAGCUAGGUAUUACUGUUGGAGCUAGAAACACAAGCAUUUAGCUCGGUAUUACUGUUGGAGCUAGAAACACAAGCAUUUAGCUAGGUAUUACUGUUGGAGCUAGAAACACAAGCAUUUAGCUAGGUAUUACUGUUGGAGCUAGAAACACAAGCAUUUAGCUAGGUAUUACUGUUGGAGCUAGAAACACAAGAAUUUAGCUAGGUAUUACUGUUGGAGCUAGAAACACAAGCAUUUAGCUAGGUAUUACUGUUGGAGCUAGAAACACA